This 448-nucleotide ribosomal RNA is filed under the name uncultured bacterium. Its description in RNAcentral is "partial 16S ribosomal RNA". It matches the Rfam family "Bacterial small subunit ribosomal RNA", at positions 356 to 793 of the family's 1533-position model. The record is from RNAcentral.
UGGGAAUAUUGCACAAUGGGCGCAAGCCUGAUGCAGCCAUGCCGCGUGUGUGAAGAAGGCCUUCGGGUUGUAAAGCACUUUCAGCGAGGAGGAAGGUGGUGAGCUUAAUACGCUCAUCAAUUGACGUUACUCGCAGAAGAAGCACCGGCUAACUCCGUGCCAGCAGCCGCGGUAAUACGGAGGGUGCAAGCGUUAAUCGGAAUUACUGGGCGUAAAGCGCACGCAGGCGGUUUGUUAAGUCAGAUGUGAAAUCCCCGGGCUCAACCUGGGAACUGCAUUUGAAACUGGCAAGCUAGAGUCUCGUAGAGGGGGGUAGAAUUCCAGGUGUAGCGGUGAAAUGCGUAGAGAUCUGGAGGAAUACCGGUGGCGAAGGCGGCCCCCCUGGANGAAGACUGACGCUCAGGUGCGAAAAGGCGUGGGGAGCAAAACAGAUUAGNUACCCUGGUAG